UACGUAGGGUGCGAGCGUUAAUCGGAAUUACUGGGCGUAAAGCGUGCGCAGGCGGUUUUGUAAGCCAGAUGUGAAAUCCCCGGGCUUAACCUGGGAAUGGCAUUUGGGACUGCAAGGCUGGAGUUUGGCAGAGGAGACUGGAAUUCCUGGUGUAGCAGUGAAAUGCGUAGAUAUCAGGAGGAAUACCGAUGGCGAAGGCAGGUCUCUGGGCUAUAACUGACGCUGAGGAGCGAAAGCGUGGGGAGCGAACAGG
This 253-nucleotide ribosomal RNA is filed under the name uncultured bacterium. Its description in RNAcentral is "partial 16S ribosomal RNA". It matches the Rfam family "Bacterial small subunit ribosomal RNA", at positions 524 to 776 of the family's 1533-position model. The record is from RNAcentral.